AGUACCAAGUCGAGCGGAAACGAGUUAUCUGAACCUUCGGGGAACGAUAACGGCGUCGAGCGGCGGACGGGUGAGUAAUGCCUAGGAAAUUGCCCUGAUGUGGGGGAUAACCAUUGGAAACGAUGGCUAAUACCGGUACAUGCCUACGGGCCAAAGAGGGGGACCUUGGGCCCUCUCGCGUCAGGAUAUGCCUAGGUGGGAUUAGCUAGUUGGUGAGGUAAGGGCUCACCAAGGCGACGAUCCCUAGCUGGUCUGAGAGGAUGAUCAGCCACGUCAGAACUGAGACACGGUCCAGACUCCUACGGGAGGCAGCAGUGGGGAAUAUUGCACAAUGGGCGCAAGCCUGAUGCAGCCAUGCCGCGUGUAUGAAGAGCUAGCUCGGGUUGUAAAGUACUUUCAGUCGUGAGGAAGGCGGCGUCGUUAAUAGCGGCGUUGUUUGACGUUAGCGACAGAAGAAGCACCGGCUAACUCCGUGCCAGCAGCCCGGGUAAUACGGAGGGUGCGAGC
Molecule: ribosomal RNA, 507 nt
Filed under: Vibrio alginolyticus
Lineage: Bacteria; Pseudomonadati; Pseudomonadota; Gammaproteobacteria; Vibrionales; Vibrionaceae
Description: bacterial SSU rRNA
Rfam family: Bacterial small subunit ribosomal RNA
Source: RNAcentral